GAUGAACGCUGGCGGCGUGCCUAAUACAUGCAAGUCGAGCGAACGGACGAGAAGCUUGCUUGUCUGAUGUUAGCGGCGGACGGGAGGGUAACACGUGGAUAACCUACCUAUAAGACUGGGAUAAUUUCGGGAAACGGGCGCUAAUAGCGGAUAAUAUUUUGAAACGCGUGGUUCAAAAGUGAGAUACGGUCUUUCUGGAACUAAUGGCUGGAUACGCGCUGGAGUAGUAAGUGGGUGAGGUCACGGGUUACCAAGGCAAGGAGGCAUAGCCGACCUGAGAGGGUGGUCGCCCACACGGGAACUGAGACACGCCCCAGACGCCUACGGUAGGCAGCAGUCGGGAAUCGUACGCAAUGGGGGAAAGCCUGACGGAGCGACGCGGCGUGAGUGAUGACGGUCUCCGGAUCGGAAAACGCUGUUAUUAGGGGAAAACAUAUGUGUAAGUAACUGUGCAGAUCUUGACGGUACCGGAUCAGAAAGCCACGGCUAACUACGUG
RNAcentral lists this ribosomal RNA (497 nucleotides) under uncultured bacterium. Its description in RNAcentral is "partial 16S ribosomal RNA". It matches the Rfam family "Bacterial small subunit ribosomal RNA", at positions 28 to 507 of the family's 1533-position model. The record is from RNAcentral.